Molecule: ribosomal RNA, 459 nt
Filed under: uncultured bacterium
Lineage: Bacteria
Description: partial 16S ribosomal RNA
Rfam family: Bacterial small subunit ribosomal RNA
Source: RNAcentral
CCUACGGGUGGCAGCAGUGAGGAAUAUUGGUCAAUGGCCGUAAGGCUGAACCAGCCAAGUAGCGUGAGGGAAGACGGCACAGAGGGUUGUAAACCUCUUUUAUGAGGGGAUAAAGGUGUGCACGUGUGGAUGUUUGCAGGUACCGGAUGAAUAAGGACCGGCUAAUUCCGUGCCAGCAGCCGCGGUAAUACGGAAGGUCCGGGCGUUAUCCGGAUUUAUUGGGUUUAAAGGGUGCGCAGGCGGGAGAUCAAGUCAGCGGUAAAAUGUCGGGGCUCAACCCCGGCCGGCCGUUGAAACUGGUUUUCGAGAGUUGGAGAGAAGUAUGCGGAAGUCGUGGUGUAGCGGUGAAAUGCAUAGAUAUCACGAAGAACUCCGAUUGCGAAGGCAGCAUACCGGCUCCAUACUGACGCUGAGGCACGAAAGCGUGGGGAUCGAACAGGAUGAGAUACCCCUGUAGUC